CGCGUAGGCGGUCGGGUAAGUCGAGUGUGAAAUUCCGGGGCUCAACCCCGCGAACUGCAUUCGAUACUGCUCGACUAGAGAGAGGUAGGGGCGAGUGGAAUUCCCGGUGUAGCGGUGGAAUGCGUAGAUAUCGGGAAGAACACCGGUGGCGAAGGCGGGCUCGCUGGGCCUUUUCUGACGCUGAAGCGCGAAAGCGUGGGGAGCAAACA
This 209-nucleotide ribosomal RNA is filed under the name uncultured bacterium. RNAcentral's name for it is "partial 16S ribosomal RNA". It matches the Rfam family "Bacterial small subunit ribosomal RNA", at positions 568 to 774 of the family's 1533-position model. The record is from RNAcentral.